UACGGGGGGGGCAAGCGUUGUUCGGAAUUACUGGGCGUAAAGGGCUCGUAGGCGCCAACUAAGUCAGACGUGAAAUCCCUCGGCUUAACCGGGGAACUGCGUCUGAUACUGGUUGGCUUGAGUGUGGGAGAGGGAUGCGGAAUUCCAGGUGUAGCGGUGAAAUGCGUAGAUAUCUGGAGGAACACCGGUGGCGAAGGCGGCAUCCUGGACCAUUACUGACGCUGAGGAGCGAAAGCCAGGGGAGCAAAGCGGGG
RNAcentral lists this ribosomal RNA (254 nucleotides) under uncultured bacterium. Its description in RNAcentral is "partial 16S ribosomal RNA". It matches the Rfam family "Bacterial small subunit ribosomal RNA", at positions 524 to 778 of the family's 1533-position model. The record is from RNAcentral.